This 497-nucleotide ribosomal RNA is filed under the name uncultured bacterium. Its description in RNAcentral is "partial 16S ribosomal RNA". It matches the Rfam family "Bacterial small subunit ribosomal RNA", at positions 28 to 507 of the family's 1533-position model. The record is from RNAcentral.
GAUGAACGCUGGCGGCGUGCCUAAUACAUGCAAGUCGUGCGAACGGACUAGAAGCUUGCUUCUCUGAUGUUAGCGGCGGACGGGUGAGUAACACGUGGAUAACCUACCUAUAAGACUGGGAUAACUUCGGGAAACCGUAGCUAAUACCGGAUAAUAUUUUGAACCGCAUGGUUCAAAAGUUAAAGACGGUCUUGCUGUCACUUAUAGAUGGAUCCGCGCUGCAUUAGCUAGUUGGUAAGGUAACGGCUUACCAAGGCAACGAUGCAUAGCCGACCUGAGAGGGUGAUCGGCCACACUGGAACUGAGACACGGUCCAGACUCCUACGGGAGGCAGCAGUAGGGAAUCUUGCGCAAUGGGCGAAAGCCUGACGGAGCCACGCCGCGUGAGUGAUGAAGGUCUUCGGAUCGUAAAACCCUGUUAUUAGGGAAGAACAUAUGUGUAAGUAACUGUGCCCAUCUUGACGGUACCUAAUCAGAAAGCCACGGCUAACUUCGUG